UUCACCCAUUAUGCUUAGACCUGCGAGACCAGCAAGACAGGACCAAGAGAAACUGGUAGCAACAGGAUCUGAAUAAAUGAAAAAUGCAAGAAGAGAACCCAGUAGCAGCUGAACAUCACCUCUGAUACCUGUGGGAUGGUCUGCCUCUGAAGGUGACAUUGUCCAGGACCUGGGGCAACCUUCUUGAAACGAAAGUGAAAGUGAAAGUGAAGUCGCUCAGUCGUGUCCGACUCUUUGGGACCCUGUGGACUGUAGCCUACCAGACUCCUCCGUCCAUGAGAUUCUCCAGGCAAGAAUACUGGAAUGGGUUGCCAUUUCCUUCUCCAGGGGAUCUUCCCAACCCAGGGAUGGAACCUGGGUCUCCUGCAUUGGAGGCAGACGCUUUAACUUCUGAGCUACCAGGGAAGCCUUGAAACAAAGCCUUUACUUGAUCAGGAUAAGUCUUCACUGGGGAGAAAGCCGCUUGGGAUGAGCCCCUUCACAAAGUCUAAAUCCUGAUAAGCUCUUUUUGUAUCAUGAAUACCUAGAUCUGAGGCUUCAAGCUGUAGAAUUCUGACUGGACUUCUAGUUUUUUUUUUUUAUUUUAUAAAAAAAAUUGGAGAAUAGUUGAUUUUGUGUUAGUUUUUGCUGUACAGCAAAGUGAUUCAGUUAAAUAUAUACGUAAAUCUACUCUUCCUUAGAUUCUGUUCUCAUAGAGGUCAUGAGAGUAUUGAGUAGCGUUCCUUGUGCUGUACAGUAGCUUUCUUAUUAGUUAUCUGUUUUAUAUAUAUCACUGUGUAUGUGUGUCAAUCCCAAAUCUCUCAAUUCAUCCCUCCCCACCUUUCCCCCUUAGUAUCCAUAAGUUUGUUUUCUAUAUGUGUGUGACCUUCCAGUUAAAAAAAAAAAAAAAUCCCACAUUAAAAGUUAAGCGUUUUUAUAGAAAAGUUUGGAUUGCAAGUUUUUUUGUUUUUUUGUUUUGAUCGCAAGUUUUAUUUUUCAGUGAACCAUCUGGCAAUACCACAUUCCUAUUCCCAC
This 1014-nucleotide transfer RNA is filed under the name Bos indicus x Bos taurus (hybrid cattle). RNAcentral's name for it is "lncRNA (ENSBIXG00000023810.1)". Lineage: Eukaryota; Metazoa; Chordata; Mammalia; Artiodactyla; Bovidae. The record is from RNAcentral.